This 375-nucleotide ribosomal RNA is filed under the name Triticum aestivum (bread wheat). RNAcentral describes it as "partial small subunit ribosomal RNA". Lineage: Eukaryota; Viridiplantae; Streptophyta; Magnoliopsida; Poales; Poaceae. The record is from RNAcentral.
AUGAAGGCUCCAGAAGAGCCCGGCUUUGAAUUAACAAAGCCAUCAACCGGCCAGGAUUACAAACUCGAAACCAACACAAGAAAGCGAAAAAAAAAGACAAGAUACAGAGGCGCUGGACAACAGCACACAAGCCUCACACACACCCAGCUAAAGGAUCGAACAAGGAGACACGCAGCUGGGGUAUGUGUAGGUCCUCAAUCGCAUACAAAUCACCAGGGAGAAGGAGAAUGUCAGCACAGGAGCAGCAUUACAGACGGCGAGGAAGGGCACGCCGUCGCCAAAUCACCAGCGGCCCCGGAUUGCCAUGUCCUCCCAGCUCCACUGUCAAAGAAGACCCCUGUCUCCUCACCUGGCUCGAAGGCGCCGAACCGUUGA